GACGAACGCUGGCGGCGUGCUUAACACAUGCAAGUCGAACGGAAAGGCCCUGCUUUUGUGGGGUGCUCGAGUGGCGAACGGGUGAGUAACACGUGUGUAACCUGCCUUUUCCUUUGGGAUAACUUCAGGAAACCGGGGCUAAUACCGGUUAUGAGCUCCUGCUGCAUGGGGGGGGUUGGAAAGUUUCGGCGGUUGGGGAUGGACUUGCGGCUUAUCAGCUUGUUUGUGGGGUAGUGGCUUGCCAAGGCUUUGACGGGUCGCCGGCCUGAGAGGGUGAACGGCCACAUUGGGACUGAGAUACGGCCCAGACUCCGACGGGAGGCAGCAAUAGGGAGUAUUGCACAAGGGGCGGGAGCCUGAGGCAGCGACGACGCGUGCGGGAUGACGGCCUUCGGGUUGUAGACCGCUUUCGCCUGUGACGAAGCGUGGGUGACGGUAAUGGGUAAAGAAGCACCGGCUAACUACGUG
RNAcentral lists this ribosomal RNA (468 nucleotides) under uncultured bacterium. RNAcentral describes it as "partial 16S ribosomal RNA". It matches the Rfam family "Bacterial small subunit ribosomal RNA", at positions 28 to 507 of the family's 1533-position model. The record is from RNAcentral.